Molecule: long non-coding RNA, 1349 nt
Filed under: Homo sapiens (human)
Lineage: Eukaryota; Metazoa; Chordata; Mammalia; Primates; Hominidae
Description: HSALNT0078018
Source: RNAcentral
GAGAAACAAUAUUUGUAACAUUUCAUCAAGCUUCGUAACACAUUAAGGUUUGUUAUUUUAUAAUUUAUGUUACCCAAAAUAAUUACCAGUAAAAUCACUGAAAUUAAAACUACUAGUGAACUUCUCUCUGAAGAGAAAAAGAAGCUUUUCUUUAGAGAUGGACUUCUCAUACAUGGCAUGCAUCAUGGCUGAUUGAAAGUUGAAAGGAAAGAGUUUAAAUCCCUGGGCUAUGGCAGCAAGAAAUUUUUAAAAAUAUAAAUAUAUAUUACAAAUACAUAAAUACACAUUAUAUUGUAAAAUGUAAAUACAUAAAUAUACAAAUAUAAAUAUAGGCUGGGAACUGCUUCUGAGGCUUUCAAAAUAGCAGGUAUUAAUACAUCUUUCAAAUAGAAGAACAAUAUAAACAGAAAAAAGAAAUUAGACCCAAAUGACUAGCUGAUAUAAAAAAGACUCCCUUCCAAAGCAAGCCAUGAAUUUAAUCAUUGUAAUAAAUCAAAAUUACUUUAUGAGGAAAAGCUAUUUGAAUUUCCUCUGACCCUGAUGGUGGUCUCAUACAUGAUUAGAAAUGAAGUGCCACUGCACUCCAGCUUGGGCAACACAGUGAGACUUGGUCUCAAAAAGAAAAAAAAAAAAGAGAAAGAAAAGAAAAGAAAUAAAGGGUCCUGGUCUUUGAUGACUUUAAUGUAUCACUACGAAGACUAUAAACUAUAAAAUACAGAUAAAGAAUGAAGGAAUAACAAUUAGAACAAACCAUGUCAAGUAUAGAAAUGGAUUAUGUUAAACAACUCUUGGAUGAAAAGGAAAAAGCACAUACCAGAAUAAAAAAAAUACAAUUUAUGAGAUUUAAAACUGAUCAAAGGAGAGGAUAAUGUAUUGCUCUAAGUACUUUUGUCACUAAAAAUGAAAGAAUGAAAAUGAAUGUGUCAAAUUUUCAGCUCAAAAACCAGAAAUAAAGCAAAAUGAUAAAUUAAAAGAAAGCACAAAGAAGGAAAUAAUAAUAAAUGAAAAAUUAAUGUUAGAGAAUAGAAAAAGCAAAAAAAAAAGAUACAUAAAAAUCCUGCUUUUUAAACAAACCACUAGUUUAUUUUAUCAAGAAAAGUGGGAGAAUGAGAGAGAGGACAUGACAAAGAGAAAAUGGCCAUUUUAACAGUAAACACAAAAAAAAUUAUUGAGCUACUUUUCUCUAUUCAAAUAGAUUCAAAAACCUAUAAAAAUGAGUAAUUCGCUAGAAAAAGUUUAUCAAAAUUAACCUCACAGAAUUCUUAUAUAGUCAAAUUUCCGUAGAAAAAAAUAAGAGAGUUGUGAGGAAAUUACCUCAGAAAAGGACCAUUGCAAAAUAUUUUCACUGG